Molecule: ribosomal RNA, 253 nt
Filed under: uncultured bacterium
Lineage: Bacteria
Description: partial 16S ribosomal RNA
Rfam family: Bacterial small subunit ribosomal RNA
Source: RNAcentral
UACGUAGGGUGCGAGCGUUGUCCGGAAUCAUUGGGCGUAAAGGGCGCGUAGGUGGCCCAGUCAGCGUGCGGUGAAAGCUCGGGGCUCAACCCCGGGUCGGCCGUGCGAACUACUGGGCUGGAGCACUGUAGAGGCAGGCGGAAUUCCGGGUGUAGCGGUGGAAUGCGUAGAGAUCCGGAAGAACACCGGUGGCGAAGGCGGCCUGCUGGGCAGUUGCUGACACUGAGGCGCGACAGCGUGGGGAGCAAACAGG